UUGAAUUCAACAUACCAACAUGUUGCAACCAUUUUAGAUUAAUUAGUUAACACCUUUAUUCUGCCAUUCUAUACACUCAGAAUUUUACAAAAGGACAAUUACGUAAUUUGAAAUUAAAAGGCAAGCAGUGUAAUGCUUAAUCGACAAGUUCAGAAUCUUGCUUUAUUUGACUGUGAUAUUAUUGUUUGUGAAUGAAUGUACUGAAGCUUCAUGAUCAAAUACAACAUCCAAAUUAACAGUUAUAUAUAUAUAUAUAUAUAUAUAUAUAUAUAUAUAUAUACACACACACGGUUACGCUGCAUGUGUUAUACCUUCUACCUUAUUAACAAGCAAACUUAAAUGACCAACUAUCUCUGGACACAAUACUUUCAUCCUACUGGGUCUCAUAUCAGUCCAAAAUAGAUCAAUACAGUCCUAUUUAAUCACAGAUUGAAAUGAAAACAACUACUAAAGAUUUUAUCUCCUUUUUGAGUCACUCUCUAAAUAGAUUUACGAAGCAGCUGACAAAAAAUAAACUAAAACUAACAUGAACUAUUUUGUUACUCUAACAUGAAAUUAACCACAACCAGUUAUUAGUUUUAACUAUAAACGGUAUACUACUAGCCUCAUACUCAAGUGUCUAAACAAUUCAAAGAAAACAAACAGUUCUGCGCAUAACUUAACUAGCAUUCAAUUCAUAAUAUUAGCUAUGUAAAAAUAGUCCUACGUACAGUCCACUCAAAAAAUAUAAUAUCAAUAGCUUGAACUCAAACAAUCACACAAUAAGCUAAUUACUAAAUGAAAUACAUCCAGCUAUAAGUAACAAUAAAAGUGCAGUAGAUUAACUGAGCGUGAGACAACCUUCAUUUCACUUUAAAAUGGAGCUAUAAUUCUGUGAGAUUUUCAGUCGUUUCUUUUCAGGAUUUCUUUUUCACUUUUCAAUUUCUCUUCUUUUCUACGGAUCUCUCAAAAUCUGUCUUUCUAUCUUAUAUUUUCCAACCUAUCUCUUUUUCUUUCUUUUAACUCUCUAUUGUUUUAAGCUCUCUCAUAUUCUCACUUGUCUAUCUCUGUGUGUUGCAAACUCUAUCUUUUUAGUAUUUUUUCAUAGUCUUCUUUCUAUGUGUUCUUAGUUCUCUCUUUCUCUCUUUGGAUUCAAUGUGUGUCCCUUUCCUGCCUGAUUUCCAGCCUCUAAAUAGGCAUACCCUUAGUGUACUUUUCACUAUCACUUUUAUCUCUUCAAUUUUUAAUUCCCCCAUUACUCUAGUGCCUUUAGAUUUAAUCAGUAAUGCCUAUUUCAGUCCUUAAAAUCAGCAUUAGUGUAAUUUCCACUGCUUCAAUUAUUUUGUAUUCUAUAUUAUCUAGGUUGGCUCCUAAACUUCUGUUGAUUACCCUUUAAAUCUCUGUUAUUCACCCCUUGAGCCUAGACAGACAUAUGGGACAAGUUGUCCCAAAUUAAUCAUAAAGUUUCCUUCCUUUAAGUAGAAGAACAAUGUCUUAACGGAUUGAAGACUAACAAACAAACUAGAAAUGAGCUAGAUGACUGAAUUAAAAUAGAAUUUAGUUAAAACUAUUUAAACUUAGAACAUGAAGGAUUCUAUAAUCAAACCAAAGGCAUAAAAAACCUAAAUGACAUGAUAACAACCAAAUACGUACAUGAAUAAACCGAAAAAUCCUCAAUUUUGAACAAGAAACUGACAAACACAACAUAACACAAAUCCGGUCACGUACUAAUAAUUCUAAAAAAAAACGAAAUAAAGAUAACAAGAAAGGAGUAGAAGAAAAUGAUAAAGAACAAAACGAAAUAUAUAAAAGGGUGAAGCAGAAAUACUUAAAAACUCGGACAUUAAAAGUUGAGAUGAAUCUUCAAAUCCUUAAAUUUCUGGCCGAAUUUGACAUUAUUCGUGUGUUCUUAUCAAGAACACACAAAUAAAAUAAGCUUCGACCUUAAACUCCACUGAAAUAUUGAUUUGAGGUUUUUUGGGAUUUUAGGGUUCAUCUUCAAUUCAACAUUCGACGAGUUUCGGAGGGAUUUGAAGGAAAACAAUUAGAGAUUGGGAUAGAGGAGGUUAUGGGGCUCACAUGGUUUUAUUUUGGGGGUGAUUGGGUAAACUAAGGUUUGGGGUUCAAAUUUCGAUCGAAGAUUCGACGAGUUUGGCUAUAAUUUGAAGGAAAUAGUUUAGGGAUUUGGGAAGAGGGGGUCAAGGCGAGUUUAAGGUGUAAUUUUGGUGGGGUUUGGUGGCUGACCACCGCCGUGGGCGAUUUUCGGUCGGCGGUCAGCGACGGCGUUACCUGGGUCUCUGAAGAUGAAGGAGGGGGAUAGGGGGGAGGGGGUCCUGAUUUGGGGGUUGGGGUUAUAAGAGUUGGGUAUAUUAAAAUUGGAGAAUUA
Molecule: long non-coding RNA, 2365 nt
Filed under: Nicotiana benthamiana
Lineage: Eukaryota; Viridiplantae; Streptophyta; Magnoliopsida; Solanales; Solanaceae
Description: long non-coding RNA (NBEN_LNC011671)
Source: RNAcentral